UGGGGAAUAUUGCACAAUGGGCGAAAGCCUGAUGCAGCAACGCCGCGUGAGUGAUGAAGGCCUUCGGGUUGUAAAGCUCUGUCUUCUGGGACGAUAAUGACGGUACCAGAGGAGGAAGCCACGGCUAACUACGUGCCAGCAGCCGCGGUAAUACGUAGGUGGCAAGCGGUGUCCGGAUUUACUGGGCGUAAAGGAUGCGUAGGCGGAUACUUAAGUCAGAUGUGAAAAUCCCGGGCUUAACUUGGGAACUGCAUUUGAAACUGGGUAUCUAGAGUGCGGGAGAGGAAAGUGGAAUUCCUAGUGUAGCGGUGAAAUGCGUAGAGAUUAGGAAGAACACCAGUGGCGAAGGCGACUUUCUGGACCGUAACUGACGCUGAGGCAUGAAAGCGUGGGGAGCAAACA
Molecule: ribosomal RNA, 402 nt
Filed under: uncultured bacterium
Lineage: Bacteria
Description: bacterial SSU rRNA
Rfam family: Bacterial small subunit ribosomal RNA
Source: RNAcentral